UGUAAGCAUUCCUGCUUUUCUCUUUGAUGUUUUGAUUUUUCCAGAAUCCAAGGGCCGAGGUUUUUCACCUUGGUGUUAGAAGUUCCAAGUGGAACAAAGGACAGCAGUUGCAGACGGUACUCCCUGAACAUGUUUUGUUUAAUCUUUCUUUUUAAAGAACAACAAAUCUCUUUUUUCCCAUUUAACAAAUAUUUUUAUUGAGGACUUUCAAUGUGCCAGGAAUUGAUAGAAAUGUCGGAGUACAAUGAUGAACCAGGUGCCCACCAAGAUAUUGCGGACCAGAGGGAUACUUUGGAGGAUCAAGUGCUUUAAGGCGAUGUUCUCACCGAUGCUGCAGUCAAACAGGAUGGGCUCCUGGGACACGAUGCCCAUUUGUGCUCGGAGCCACUGGACAUUCAGUUCUUGCUUACCGAAACUAAUGUAGAAAUCAUUUCACUGAUAAGUUGUUGCCACAUGCAGCCAGAGGAAACAUUUGCACAGGAAGAAGCAACAAGGAAGAAAAUCAUUUAGAUGCCAGAAAAGAUAAAUGAAGAAAAGAAAUGAGAGCCAGUUUCCUCCUGCACCUGCUAAUCUGAAGAGCAAGACUGAGAACUUAAGUUACUUGUCUAUUUGGAAGCAGAGAAGGGAGGGGGAAGAACAAACUGGAAGUGCCCGCAGUGAAGAGACAAACCCAAAUCCUGCCGGGAAGAAUCUCCUU
This is a long non-coding RNA of Pteronotus mesoamericanus, 697 nucleotides long. RefSeq lists it as uncharacterized. The transcript has 4 exons. NCBI's taxonomy places the organism in Eukaryota, Metazoa, Chordata, Mammalia, Chiroptera, Mormoopidae. The record is from RefSeq and is a predicted model, not a curated record.